This 392-nucleotide transfer-messenger RNA is filed under the name bioreactor metagenome. RNAcentral's name for it is "transfer-messenger RNA, SsrA". It matches the Rfam family "transfer-messenger RNA". Rfam says of the family: Bacterial tmRNA, also known as 10Sa RNA or SsrA, is named for its dual tRNA and mRNA-like properties. The record is from RNAcentral.
GGGGAUGACAGGCUUCGACGGGCGAGGCUGAUCCCGGACGGCAUGCCGAGAGGUACCGACCUCGUAAACUCAGUACAAACCUUAAGUGCCAAAAACACUUCAUAUGCAGCUCUUCCUCUCGCCGCCUAGCGUCGAAGGAAAGCUCAUCUGACACCUAGUGUGUCACGUCUGCCUGCUCCGCUCUCUUACCGGUAGCAGAACGGGCGUCACAAAGUAAGAGUGCCGCUUCUCAUUCCGCGGGUGAAGCGAAAGAGGGCUUUCGGGCUUGAGCGGAUCGCCUGCCUUCAAUUUUGUCCGUCUGGUGACGGCAGGCAAAACCACAGACGGUCUACGCAUGUAGAAGUUCGAGGGUUGAAUCGUUCGGACGCGGGUUCAAUUCCCGCCAUCUCCAC